Molecule: ribosomal RNA, 434 nt
Filed under: uncultured bacterium
Lineage: Bacteria
Description: partial 16S ribosomal RNA
Rfam family: Bacterial small subunit ribosomal RNA
Source: RNAcentral
AGCGAACGCUGGCGGCAGGCCUAACACAUGCAAGUCGAACGAACCUUUCGGGGUUAGUGGCGGACGGGUGAGUAACACGUGGGAACGUGCCUUUAGGUUCGGAAUAACUCAGGGAAACUUGUGCUAAUACCGAAUGUGCCCUUCGGGGGAAAGAUUAAUCGCCUUUAGAGCGGCCCGCGUCUGAUUAGCUAGUUGGUUGAGGUAAUGGCUCACCAAGGCGACGAUCAGUAGCUGGUCUGAGAGGAUGAUCAGCCACCUUGGGACUGGGACACGGCCCAAACUCCUACGGGAGGCAGCAGUGGGGAAUCUUGCGCAAUGGGCGAAAGCCUGACGCAGCCAUGCCGCGUGAAUGCUGAAGGUCUUAGGAUUGUAAAAUUCUUUCACCGGGGACGAUAAUGACGGUACCCGGAGAAGAAGCCCCGGCUAACUUCGUG